This 253-nucleotide ribosomal RNA is filed under the name uncultured bacterium. Its description in RNAcentral is "partial 16S ribosomal RNA". It matches the Rfam family "Bacterial small subunit ribosomal RNA", at positions 524 to 776 of the family's 1533-position model. The record is from RNAcentral.
UACGGGGGGGGCAAGCGUUGUUCGGAAUUACUGGGCGUAAAGGGCUCGUAGGUGGCCAACUAAGUCAGACGUGAAAUCCCUCGGCUUAACCGGGGAACUGCGUCUGAUACUGGAUGGCUUGAGUUUGGGAGAGGGACGCGGAAUUCCAGGUGUAGCGGUGAAAUGCGCAGAUAUCGGGAGGAACACCAAUGGCGAAGGCAGCUCGCUGGGACGGUACUGACGCUGAGACGCGAAAGCGUGGGGAGCAAACAGG